GACGCCUCGCUUCUGAUGGAGAGAGAGGCACCGCCCAACAACAACAACAAGACACGGUAGAACAUGGACUAGAGAACAGCAGUUGAUGAUUGGUUUGGAACUUCCAGUCCUAGGAACAAGCAUGCAUGCUUCAUUUUUCAGGCGGUCGCUGUGGUUGGAGUUGGACGGAGCCAGGGACCAGAGGAAAGUUGCCACCCUACCCCACUCUGAAACGCGAGGGAAGCAUGGCGGCGGCGUAGGCGGACGACCGGACGGCCUCGCACCAAAGGCCGCGGCAACACGUCCGUGGCGUGCGCACGCCAGGUGUUCGACGUGGUGCUCCAGAGGCAACAUCAACUUCGUUCGUCUCAGCUCCCGGUGACAGACCGCCACCUCCCGUCCCUGUCCGGCCGCCGCCGUCUUCCCGCUGGAACCGCGAGGUCUGGAUCCACACAUCCCGUGCUCACAAUGCAUGUCCUGAUUGAGGGGAGAAAACGCUGAAUGCGUGGAACAUGCAUGGACAAUGCAGUAUUCAGUCCGUCAAUUAUCGGCCCCUGACGAUUUUGUCCGAUUCCAUCUUGAAUCAACGCAGAUGUGAUUUGGCAUUGCUCUGUGGUUCACAUGGAUCCAGUAGCACUACGGCAUGAAAGAGUUCGGAGUGUAUGCGUGUGUAUCAAAGAAGGCAAGAAGCAGUGAUGAAGGAGCACAACACCAGUGCUGCAAGCUGAGAGAUAGAGAGAGAUAAAUACUUGCUUUCCAUUUUCCCCAUGAGAGAUAGAAACAUUUUAUCUUGACCGAAACAGAGAUGAUCGGUUCUCGAGUCCAUUCCAAUGUCUUUGCUAUGUCAGGCUUGGGAGGCGUCGGGGGCUCUCCAAUUACUUUCAGAACCCAGUGGUCAUCGAUGUCAAAACUGGUCUGUCGGGAGAUGCCAUUCUUCAGGAGACUUU
Panicum hallii is the source of this 926-nucleotide long non-coding RNA. RefSeq lists it as uncharacterized. NCBI's taxonomy places the organism in Eukaryota, Viridiplantae, Streptophyta, Magnoliopsida, Poales, Poaceae. The record is from RefSeq and is a predicted model, not a curated record. The transcript is spliced from 3 exons.